AACGAACGCUGGCGGCAGGCCUAACACAUGCAAGUCGAGCGAGGACUUCGGUCCUACUGGCGGACGGGUGAGUAACGCGUGGGAACGUGCCCUUUGCUUCGGAAUAGCUCUGGGAAACUGGGAGUAAUAUCGGAUGAGCCCCUCGGGGGAAAGAUACGUCGACGAAGGAUCGGCCUGCGUUGGCUUAGGCAGUUGGUGGGGUAAUGGCCUACCAAGCGAUCGAUGCAUAGCUGGGUAGAGAGGAUGAUCAGCGACACUGGGGAUGGGACGCAGCCCAGACUACUACGGGAGGGAGGAGUGGAGGAUCAUGCACAAUCGCGGAAACCAUGAUGGAGCCAUGCGGGGUGAGCGAUUAAGUCGUGAGGGAUGUAAAGCUGUUUCAUAUGGGAGGGUGAUGACGGUACCAGCAGAAGAAGCCCCGGCUAACUACGUG
RNAcentral lists this ribosomal RNA (433 nucleotides) under uncultured bacterium. RNAcentral describes it as "partial 16S ribosomal RNA". It matches the Rfam family "Bacterial small subunit ribosomal RNA", at positions 29 to 507 of the family's 1533-position model. The record is from RNAcentral.